GGUGAACGCUGGCGGUAGGCCUAACACAUGCAAGUCGAACGGCAGCACAGUAAGAGCUUGCUCUUACGGGUGGCGAGUGGCGGACGGGUGAGGAAUACAUCGGAAUCUACUUUUUCGUGGGGGAUAACGUAGGGAAACUUACGCUAAUACCGCAUACGACCUACGGGUGAAAGCAGGGGAUCUUCGGACCUUGCGCGAUUGAAUGAGCCGAUGUCGGAUUAGCUAGUUGGCGGGGUAAAGGCCCACCAAGGCGACGAUCCGUAGCUGGUCUGAGAGGAUGAUCAGCCACACUGGAACUGAGACACGGUCCAGACUCCUACGGGUGGCAGCAGUGGGGAAUAUUGGACAAUGGGCGCAAGCCUGAUCCAGCCAUACCGCGUGGGUGAAGAAGGCCUUCGGGUUGUAAAGCCCUUUUGUUGGGAAAGAAAAGCAGCAGGUUAAUACCCCGCUGUUCUGACGGUACCCAAAGAAUAAGCACCGGCUAACUUCGUG
This 492-nucleotide ribosomal RNA is filed under the name uncultured bacterium. Its description in RNAcentral is "partial 16S ribosomal RNA". It matches the Rfam family "Bacterial small subunit ribosomal RNA", at positions 28 to 507 of the family's 1533-position model. The record is from RNAcentral.